RNAcentral lists this ribosomal RNA (465 nucleotides) under uncultured marine eukaryote. RNAcentral describes it as "bacterial SSU rRNA". It matches the Rfam family "Eukaryotic small subunit ribosomal RNA", at positions 617 to 1091 of the family's 1831-position model. The record is from RNAcentral.
GGUUAAAACGCUCGUAGUUGGAUGUUUGCUGAGGUUAGUCGGUCUACCCUAGCGGUCAGCACAUGACUUUUCCCCGGCACUUUUCUGGGGAGAGUGUUCGCACUUCACUGUGUGGCGCAUAGUCCAGAACUUUUACUUUGAGGAAAUGAGAGCGUUUCAAGCAGGCGUCUGUCGUGAAUACGUUAGCAUGGAAUAAUAGCACAGGACCGCGGUCUGACGCUGUUGGUUGUCGGAUCGAGGUAAUAAAAAUGGGGAUAGUUGGGGGCAUUCGUAUUUAACUGUCAGAGGUGAAAUUCUUGGAUUUUUUAAAGACGAGCUAAUGCGAAAGCAUCUGCCCAGGAUGUUUUUGUCGAUCAAGAACGAAAGUUAGGGGAUCGAAGACGAUCAGAUACCGUCCUAGUCUUAACCUUAAACUAUGCCGAAGAUCCGGACUGGGAUCGUCGAAUGACGCUUUCAGCCCUGAGA